CUCUACCGCUCCUGCUGUCUCUAGAGAGUUGAAAACAGCAGGUCUGGGACAGGUAGCACGUCCGGUGAACAGGUCAGGGUUCCAUAGCUGCAGGCAGAACAGUUGGAACUGGAGCAGCAGCACGGCCAGGUGGACUGGGGACAGCAAGGAGUCGUCAAGCCAGGUAGUCCUGAGGCAUGGUCCUAGGGCUCAGGUCCUCCGAGAGAAAGACAGAAAGAGAGAAAGAGAGAAUUAGAGAGAGCAUAUUUAAAUACACACAGGACACCGGAUAAGACAAGAGAAAUACUCCAGAUGUAACAGACUGACCCUAGCCCCCGACACAUAAACUACUGCAGCAUAAAUACUGGAGGCUGAGACAGGAG
This 362-nucleotide long non-coding RNA is filed under the name Salmo salar (Atlantic salmon). RNAcentral describes it as "lncRNA (ENSSSAG00000082509.1)". Lineage: Eukaryota; Metazoa; Chordata; Actinopteri; Salmoniformes; Salmonidae. The record is from RNAcentral.